Molecule: ribosomal RNA, 702 nt
Filed under: Triticum aestivum (bread wheat)
Lineage: Eukaryota; Viridiplantae; Streptophyta; Magnoliopsida; Poales; Poaceae
Description: partial small subunit ribosomal RNA
Source: RNAcentral
CGCACACACAUGCCACCAGCCCACCACCCACCCAUGCCCACGAUGCGGAUGUUGAACGGCUGGACGGCGAGCGGCGCGGAUGGCGACUGGCGCCAGGGAGGGCGGCGGCCGGCGACUGGCGUAAGGGAGCGCGGCGCGGGAGCAUGGCUUGGCGGCGGCAUAGGCUAGGGCAGCGGCGGCCGCGACGGAGCGCGGCUGGGCGCCGGCACGGCGAGCAGGGCAUGGCGGCCGCGGGAUCCUCUUCCUCCAUCUUGCCGUGGACCUCCCCUCCUCUGCGCUCACGCUCGACGGCCUCGUCGACAUCGCCUAUGGACGGGGCGGCGGCCGCGUCGGUGCGUGGCUUGGCUGCGGCGGCCGUGGCGGAGCUCGGCUGGGCGCCGGCACGGCGAGCAGGGCACAACGGCCGCGGGAUCCUCUUCCUGCAUCUUGCCGCGGACCUCCCCUCCUCUGCGCUCACGCUCGACGGCCUCGUCGACAUCGCCUAUGGACGGGUUGUGGCCAUGUCAGGGGAACGGAGCCCUCCACCUCCCCGGCCCCUUGUGCGCUGGCGGCGUGGACCUCGACCUCCCCGGCGGCGCGGAGUCAACCACCUCCCGGCGGCGCGUGCGCUGCAAGGGCCAUUUGCCCAGUUCGUCAAAUAGAGUGGUCUUUUGUAUAAGUUGAUGAAAUAGAGUUUGUUUGUUCGAUGGAUGAGUGAGUGCU